AUUAAACCGAACUCCCAUAUCUUUGCAGCCUGCUUGUUUGUUUAGCUGAUAAGAACAGUUCAAAUGUAUUUUAAUGAGACACUGAAAACCCCAGCGUGUCCNAGGAACAGAACUUUGAAUGAUUUAUCUAAAGAUUCACAGCCUUUGCAAAUACUUUAGCAUCUUGCUGGAUUACGAUGUUUAAACUUUCGGCAUACAUUAUCCAAGCUGUAAUUGUAGAGGGUGGNUUNUUUUCUUUUUUCUUUUCCUUUUCUUAAUGUUUAUCUUAAUUUUAAUAUCUUCGUAAAUUAAAAGAGGAUCAGCUGAACUUAACAGUCUUGAAGACGACACACAACGUGACUCGGGAAUGUUGACAAAUUUCCCCCAGCUCGUCUCCUCCNUACNCAGGUUGCCGCAAAUCUCUCGCCGCCCCCGCUGGGGGGAGACUUGGUGGAGCUCAAAUGAGGAAUCCCUCCNCCUUCCUGUCACUUAGGGAGAUGAAANCUUCUGACAGAGGAGGUUUGAACUCCCCCCUCUGUCUACUCACGUUGCGGUUUGCUCAGAGGAAAAAUCAUCUCAGCAACUACAUUCGGCCAUCUUCCUCGGAGGUCCCUUUUUCAGACAUUUCUUCACUUCCAUAGUCUCUUUGGAAGGUUCCCAAAUGGUAUGCUCUGGGAUUCUAAAUCUGGAUCAGAGCAUGGCUUCCGGUGCUAUGUCAGGGAGCACCAACAGGAACAACUUCAGUAUCUCAGAGGNGCUGGACUUUUGUGAAAGAGAUGUUGAGACUGUCCUCUGCAACCUGGACUACAUAGGAGAGGAGACACAGGAUGUAUCUUGGAUCCCAGCAUGGUUCUUCUCUGCUCAAUCCCAGACUGAGGGCAUUGACUUCCAGGCCUUUUUGAGAGCCCAGGUGCCAUAGCCAGAGACAGAGNAGCCUUGUCUGAUAUGAGCCAGUAAGGGGCCAUUUAAAUGGAAGAAGUGACCUGUUCUGAACCGGACUAUAGCACUCCAAGUUCACAACAGAGAACAGUGGGAAAAAAGCGCUUUCUUUCUUCCUUUUUUGGGGGGCGGGGGGUCUAAGGGGACCUUAAUGCAGCCUUUCCAGAGCCUGGAAAAAUAGUCUUAAAAUAACACAUUGAAAACUUAAUCUGUAUUGGAAGACGAUGAGGAUUGAGUACAUGUUCUGGUUGUUCCCACAUUUGUAUUAUAACAUGGACUCAAUUCAGACUUGCUUGUUCUCACACCUCAUUUUUCCUGUGCUUCGCAUGGGGAAACCAUACCUUUCUGUCUCCACCUCUCACCAACUUCCCCUCCUUGUGCAGUCAGUGACUGGAUGCAGUCCCAACGUUCCAAGCUUGACUCCACAGGGGAAGUAAGUGAAACUCUGUCCUCCGUAUUUCUCUGCUGCUAUCUCAGAACAUGGAUUCCCUUGGUGGCAUUACUGGUCAUUCACCAUUUGCUCCUUCUUCCCCUCCAGCCUGUAUCCACCNAAGUANAACUUCAAUUCCACAUCUACCACACANUCAAGUUUCUUAAAGGGCUCCUUUGCAAUUGCACUUUGGUCAAUUGUGCAAUUUCAAACUAGCGUAAAAAACAUGCAGAAAAUAAUAACCAGGAUGUUCAGGGACUGGGAACACCUCCCUCAUGAGAUUAGGCUGCAAUGUCUAGAUCAAUUCAUACUUGAAAAACAG
Molecule: long non-coding RNA, 1670 nt
Filed under: Salvator merianae (Argentine black and white tegu)
Lineage: Eukaryota; Metazoa; Chordata; Lepidosauria; Squamata; Teiidae
Description: lncRNA (ENSSMRG00000008388.1)
Source: RNAcentral